RNAcentral lists this ribosomal RNA (1047 nucleotides) under Streptomyces sp. AV221. RNAcentral describes it as "bacterial SSU rRNA". It matches the Rfam family "Bacterial small subunit ribosomal RNA", at positions 251 to 1302 of the family's 1533-position model. Lineage: Bacteria; Bacillati; Actinomycetota; Actinomycetes; Kitasatosporales; Streptomycetaceae. The record is from RNAcentral.
GGUGAGGUAAUGGCUCACCAAGGCGACGACGGGUAGCCGGCCUGAGAGGGCGACCGGCCACACUGGGACUGAGACACGGCCCAGACUCAUACGGGAGGCAGCAGUGGGGAAUAUUGCACAAUGGGCGAAAGCCUGAUGCAGCGACGCCGCGUGAGGGAUGACGGCCUUCGGGUUGUAAACCUCUUUCAGCAGGGAAGAAGCGAGAGUGACGGUACCUGCAGAAGAAGCGCCGGCUAACUACGUGCCAGCAGCCGCGGUAAUACGUAGGGCGCAAGCGUUGUCCGGAAUUAUUGGGCGUAAAGAGCUCGUAGGCGGCUUGUCACGUCGAUUGUGAAAGCCCGAGGCUUAACCUCGGGUCUGCAGUCGAUACGGGCUAGCUAGAGUGUGGUAGGGGAGAUCGGAAUUCCUGGUGUAGCGGUGAAAUGCGCAGAUAUCAGGAGGAACACCGGUGGCGAAGGCGGAUCUCUGGGCCAUUACUGACGCUGAGGAGCGAAAGCGUGGGGAGCGAACAGGAUUAGAUACCCUGGUAGUCCACGCCGUAAACGGUGGGAACUAGGUGUUGGCGACAUUCCACGUCGUCGGUGCCGCAGCUAACGCAUUAAGUUCCCCGCCUGGGGAGUACGGCCGCAAGGCUAAAACUCAAAGGAAUUGACGGGGGCCCGCACAAGCGGCGGAGCAUGUGGCUUAAUUCGACGCAACGCGAAGAACCUUACCAAGGCUUGACAUACACCGGAAAGCAUUAGAGAUAGUGCCCCCCUUGUGGUCGGUGUACAGGUGGUGCAUGGCUKUCGUCAGCUCGUGUCGUGAGAUGUUGGGUUAAGUCCCGCAACGAGCGCAACCCUUGUCCCGUGUUGCCAGCAGGCCCUUGUGGUGCUGGGGACUCACGGGAGAMCGCCGGGGUCAACUCGGAGGAAGGUGGGGACRAMGUCAAGUCAUCAUGCCCCUUAUKUSKGUGGGCUGCACACGUCGSWAMAAUGGCCGGUACAAAGAGCUGCGAUACCGUAAGGUGGAGCGAAUCUCAAAAAGCCGGUCUCAGUUCGGAUUUAG